UAGAAUGGAUAUUUCUGGACAUUGGGUUAA
This 30-nucleotide non-coding RNA is filed under the name Mus musculus (house mouse). Lineage: Eukaryota; Metazoa; Chordata; Mammalia; Rodentia; Muridae. The record is from RNAcentral.